RNAcentral lists this ribosomal RNA (844 nucleotides) under Bacillaceae bacterium BAC83. Its description in RNAcentral is "bacterial SSU rRNA". It matches the Rfam family "Bacterial small subunit ribosomal RNA", at positions 54 to 866 of the family's 1533-position model. Lineage: Bacteria; Bacillati; Bacillota; Bacilli; Caryophanales; Bacillaceae. The record is from RNAcentral.
CAUGCAAGUCGAGCGCAGGAAACCAGAUGACCCCUUCGGGGUGAUUCUGGUGGAAUGAGCGGCGGACGGGUGAGUAACACGUGGGCAACCUGCCUGUAAGACUGGGAUAACUUCGGGAAACCGGAGCUAAUACCGGAUAGUAUUUCCUUUCUCCUGAUUGGAAAUGGAAAGACGGUUUCGGCUGUCACUUACAGAUGGGCCCGCGGUGCAUUAGCUAGUUGGUGGGGUAAUGGCCCACCAAGGCGACGAUGCAUAGCCGACCUGAGAGGGUGAUCGGCCACACUGGGACUGAGACACGGCCCAGACUCCUACGGGAGGCAGCAGUAGGGAAUCUUCCGCAAUGGACGAAAGUCUGACGGAGCAACGCCGCGUGAGCGAUGAAGGCCUUCGGGUCGUAAAGCUCUGUUGUUAGGGAAGAACAAGUACGAGAGUAACUGCUCGUACCUUGACGGUACCUAACCAGAAAGCCCCGGCUAACUACGUGCCAGCAGCCGCGGUAAUACGUAGGGGGCAAGCGUUGUCCGGAAUUAUUGGGCGUAAAGGGCUCGUAGGCGGUUUCUUAAGUCUGAUGUGAAAGCCCACAGCUCAACUGUGGAGGGUCAUUGGAAACUGGGGAACUUGAGUGCAGAAGAGGAGAGUGGAAUUCCACGUGUAGCGGUGAAAUGCGUAGAUAUGUGGAGGAACACCAGUGGCGAAGGCGACUCUCUGGUCUGUAACUGACGCUGAGGAGCGAAAGCGUGGGGAGCAAACAGGAUUAGAUACCCUGGUAGUCCACGCCGUAAACGAUGAGUGCUAGGUGUUAGGGGGUUUCCGCCCCUUAGUGCUGAAGUUAACGCAUUAAGCA